This is a long non-coding RNA of Lagopus leucura (white-tailed ptarmigan), 1544 nucleotides long. RefSeq lists it as uncharacterized. Lineage: Eukaryota; Metazoa; Chordata; Aves; Galliformes; Phasianidae. The transcript has 3 exons. The record is from RefSeq and is a predicted model, not a curated record.
GGCCGAUGGCAUCCUGCCUUGGAUCAGGGAAGGUGAGCAGGACUGUAGGAGUCAUCCUGCCCUGUACUUGGCACUGGAAGCAUUCUGCUGUAUAUGAGGGCCAAAAGCACCCCCCAAGUGCAUCUAGAGCCAAGGAGCAGCUCUGUCCUGCCUGGUUUUGAACUGUUUUGGAAGUUCUGCUACAAGUUGGUCAGAUAAUAUUCCCAGGGUUAGCAAACCUGUGGAAGAAAUCUCCCUGCUUUGUGGCUUGUAAGAUAGAUACUCCUGUAUCUGUCCUUGUGGCUCGGCGCAAGCAGCUCCAGCCCAAUUCUGGAGCAGCAGCUCUUCCUACAGGCAGCACAGACACAGCAGGAGCACUGACUGCGGAUCAGCUGAGCACCCUCUGAUGGUGCUGUUCCUUCCUCCAAAGGGGGACAAAAGCUCAUGUUUGCUGAAUUGUCUCAGGUUACCCAGCACUGGGAGCCUUCAGCAUUCAGGAAACCACAGGCUGGGAAGUAUUUACAGUCCUUGUGAUGCUCAGGUACUGCCUCCCUUUCCACAGCCUGGCUAUUUGAAAGAUCUGCUGGCAAAGGCUGGUCAGUAAUGAAGUGUGACAGCACAGCCAGCCUGCAGCAAGCAGCAGAAAUGGAAGGAUCCAUGUUAGAGGGGCAACAAGUGGGAAAGGGCUCUGCUUGCUGCAAACCCAUCACCUUGAUGCACAACCCUCUGUGCAGCAAGGUGCUCACAUUGCACCGUGCCUGGGGCAGGAGCACAGCGAUCCUCCCCCUCAGCACCAUGAGGAGAGAUUGAAGCAACGCUGUUCAAGCUGGAUGGAUGGAGGAUGCUGCUGCAGCAAUACAGAAUGCUACAGAACAGCUGGAGCAGCCCAAGUCCCGAAGUGCAGCUGAGCUCCCACGUGGCAGGAGCGCACAGUGACAGACAGACCUUACCCUGGCUGUGGGACUGGAGAGGAGCACCCUGCAGACAUUUAUUACCUGUAAGUACAGCAGCCUGACAGCUGGAGUGGGCUUUAAUUACUGCAGAGAGCUCUUCUGGGCACUUCUUGUUCAUACAGUCUGUUUGCUCGUGGAAGAAAGGGGACCUGUGAAUCAAUCUUACAAUUGAACUCAGUCCAGGCUCGCUCUCACAUACAUUCCUUUAGGUCCAUGGUGCUGCUAGCUAGAGACCAGACAAUGUUUAACAUCGAAUUACAAAGCCGGGUUUUCCUGGAAGGCGCUACAGAAGGUGAAACAGUUUCUGAGGUCCGGGCCGCAGCGCCAGCUGCCCUGCAGAGCUGCAGCUGUGGGAUGAAUUCUGGGUUACAGUGGUUUUAAGCCUGACCUCCCCAGAGCCUUAUCUGUCUGCAAGCUGCUUCAUUUCAGUCACUUAAUUCAGAUUAAGGAUGGCUUUUGCCAAACCAUAAUGAUCCUAGUUGAAAUAAAUACUCAAAUUCUGCGCUAGCUUGAUUCCAUUACCCUGCUACCCAGAUCCCUUUUGCAAGCCGGCCAUUAAACUUCACCUAAAAAAGGAAACAGCCCGAUGGUUUGCAAAAUGCUUUCCAGCAA